Molecule: ribosomal RNA, 492 nt
Filed under: uncultured bacterium
Lineage: Bacteria
Description: partial 16S ribosomal RNA
Rfam family: Bacterial small subunit ribosomal RNA
Source: RNAcentral
AGUGAACGCUGGCGGUAGGCCUAACACAUGCAAGUCGAACGGCAGCACAGUAAGAGCUUGCUCUUACGGGUGGCGAGUGGCGGACGGGUGAGGAAUACAUCGGAAUCUACUUUUUCGUGGGGGAUAACGUAGGGAAACUUACGCUAAUACCGCAUACGACCUACGGGUGAAAGCAGGGGAUCUUCGGACCUUGCGCGAUUGAAUGAGCCGAUGUCGGAUUAGCUAGUUGGCGGGGUAAAGGCCCACCAAGGCGACGAUCCGUAGCUGGUCUGAGAGGAUGAUCAGCCACACUGGAACUGAGACACGGUCCAGACUCCUACGGGAGGGAGCAGUGGGGAAAUUUGGACAAUGGGCGCAAACCUGACCCAGCCAAACCGCGUGGGUGAAGAAGGCCUUCGGGUUUUAAAGCCCUUUUGUUGGGAAAGAAAAGCGGCCGGUUAAAACCCCCCUGUUCUGACGGUACCCAAAAAAUAAGCACCGGCUAACUUCGUG